This 450-nucleotide ribosomal RNA is filed under the name uncultured Glomus. RNAcentral describes it as "SSU rRNA". It matches the Rfam family "Eukaryotic small subunit ribosomal RNA", at positions 569 to 1027 of the family's 1831-position model. Lineage: Eukaryota; Fungi; Glomeromycota; Glomeromycetes; Glomerales; Glomeraceae. The record is from RNAcentral.
AGCAGCCGCGGUAAUUCCAGCUCCAAUAGCGUAUAUUAAAGUUGUUGCAGUUAAAAAGCUCGUAGUUGAAUUUCGGGAUUAGUACGUCGGUCGUGCCUUCGGUACGUACUGGUGUUACUGAUUCCUACCUUCUGACGAACCAUCAUGUCAUUAAUUUGGUGUGGUGGGGAAUCAGGACUGUUACUUUGAAAAAUUGAGUGUUUAAAGCAGGCUCGCGCUUGAAUACAUUAGCAUGGAAUAAUGAAAUAGGACGUUGACCCUAUUUUGUUGGUUUCUAGGAUUGACGUAAUGAUUAAUAGGGAUAGUUGGGGGCAUUAGCAUUCAAUUGUCAGAGGUGAAAUUCUUGGAUUUAUUGAAGACUAACUACUGCGAAAGCAUUUGCCAAGGAUGUUUUCAUUAAUCAAGAACGAAGUUAGGGGAUCGAAGACGAUCAGAUACCGUCGUAGUCUU